RNAcentral lists this long non-coding RNA (515 nucleotides) under Medicago truncatula (barrel medic). RNAcentral's name for it is "lncRNA gene14719". The record is from RNAcentral. Lineage: Eukaryota; Viridiplantae; Streptophyta; Magnoliopsida; Fabales; Fabaceae.
UGCCUUUGUUAACUUGCAGGAGCUGUCUAACGGUAUCAAACAGCAAAGGGAUGUUUGACUGCUGAAAGCUUAUAUCAGCUCCAAGAACGAAGUCGAAACCUCCAGGAUGUUUUUGUAAAAUUUCAUGGAUCUGAUCAGUGUUUCCCCAUUCUAGUUUCUCUGCCACUAAUCCUGCAUAUAUAUUUAAAUCAAAAUUCAGAGGGACUAAUAAGUAUCUUCCAUUGAUCAUCUAGGUAUUUACUCACCAUUAGAAGUAGGACUAAUAUUCUCGGGACAUGAAUGCAGCUCUAUAUUUUUCUUUAUGAUCUGAGAUGAGGUAGUUUAAUUAGACCACAUAGAAUAAUCAGGAAGGAGAUAUGCCACCAUAUGUUAUACAAAUCGAUUUUUUAUAACCCUACCUUAAGCACUUCUUCAUUAUGGUCUGUCAACACAACUUUAUUGCAGAAUCUGCGGCAAAGUAUUCCAGUAAUACCUGUGAUUCAAAAGCAAGAAAUAAUCAGGCCAUCAAGGUCUAA